GGAAGUUCUUUCCUCCCCAAUAAUUUGCUCUGAUGGUAAAUACCUACAUAGUGCCUGUAAAACAAAGUUUAUCAAUUAAAUGGACAAAAGAUUACGGUGUAUCAAUGCACCAUAUCUACAAUUAUUUCAUAUAUCCGCACUGCAGUACCUCCUCGGUUCAAGAUAUAUAAUUUUGCCCAUUUUUCUGUUGUUUUAUUGUAUAAAAAUCAUGACCCUCAGUCCUUUCUUUCCGCAAAUGCCCCUGAAUCUGGUCUAUAUAAGAAAUGGUGAUGCUACCUUCUCAUUUCCGAUUCUUUCUUCGAUAUCUUUAGCUUCAGUUGAGUUCUUUAGAACUGUAUAUAUCUCAAGCUCACCAGUUGCUUUGCAUGUUGGUGCAGAAAGUAGAUUGCAGCCAAGGAUGACUUGCCGAAAAUUUCAAAUAUCAGUAGCAUUAUUAGAUUUACCUUGAUGAAAAUGAAUCUGAAUAUCAGUCUCGGCAAGUUGUCUCUGGCUACAUUUUCCUUUCUACUCCUUAUGUUACGCUUCUGGUGAUAACCAUGUCAGAAGAACUCCGAUCCUAAAUGCUGCAAGAUCUUUCAUUAGAAAGAGUACCUGAUUCAGUUCUGCACCUCAGUAAUGCAGGACAGGGAACAGAAAGUAUAUGACCCCUGCUUUUUGCAUAGGACAGGGAAGAGAAAGAAAGAGAUGGGCGGUAAAAAUCAAAUGAUGGUGUGUUGUUGCUUGCUGGUGCUGUUACUAAUUUCCCCCCAACUGUGAGGGAAUGAUGAGUAAUGAUUUUAAUGUUCCCUUGCAACUAGUUACGCUCUAGUCAAUUCAAAACAAACACAUAUCUAGAGAUCUUCCCUAAUGUAACAUAGCUUCUUCAACUUCGCUCCAUCAAAGCAGUCUCUUUCAAGUCAUUAAUUUCUAGUGAAGCUCAGUAGUAUCUAGUGAAGUUGAGCUGAGACAUUGCCUUUUUGUUCUGAUCGAUCGAUUAUAGUACAUUGAGAUCAAUUAUGUCCA
Long non-coding RNA from Daucus carota subsp. sativus, 1002 nucleotides. RefSeq lists it as uncharacterized. NCBI's taxonomy places the organism in Eukaryota, Viridiplantae, Streptophyta, Magnoliopsida, Apiales, Apiaceae. The transcript is spliced from 2 exons. The record is from RefSeq and is a predicted model, not a curated record.